GAUGAACGCUGACAGAAUGCUUAACACAUGCAAGUCUUUGGCGAAGCUGUGCUUGCACAGCCUAGCCAAGGCGGACGGGUGAGUAACGCGUAAGGAACUUGCCCUGCAGUCAGGGAUAGCAGACGGAAACGACUGAUAAGACCUGGUAAAGUCAGGCGGACUCAUGUCCAGCCUGAUGAAAAGAGAUGCUGCAGGAGAGCCUUGCGUCCUAUUAGCUUGUUGGUGGGGUAACGGCCCACCAAGGCGAUGAUAGGUAGCCGGCCUGAGAGGGUGGACGGCCACAAGGGGACUGAGAUACGGCCCUUACUCCUACGGGAGGCAGCAGUGGGGAAUAUUGGACAAUGGGGGCAACCCUGAUCCAGCAAUUCUGUGUGCACGAUGAAGGUUUUCGGAUUGUAAAGUGCUUUCAGCAGGGAAGAAAAAAAUGACGGUACCUGCAGAAGAAGCGACGGCUAAAUACGUG
Molecule: ribosomal RNA, 463 nt
Filed under: uncultured bacterium
Lineage: Bacteria
Description: partial 16S ribosomal RNA
Rfam family: Bacterial small subunit ribosomal RNA
Source: RNAcentral